UACGUAGGGUGCAAGCGUUAAUCGGAAUUCCUGGGCGUAAAGCGUGCGCAGGCGGUUUUGUAAGUCUGUCGGGAAAUCCCCGGGCUCAACCUGGGAAUUGCGAUGGAGACUGCAAGGCUAGAAUCUGGCAGAGGGGGGUAGAAUUCCACGUGUAGCAGUGAAAUGCGUAGAGAUGUGGAGGAACACCGAUGGCGAAGGCAGCCCCCUGGGUCAAGAUUGACGCUCAUGCACGAAAGCGUGGGGAGCAAACAGG
Molecule: ribosomal RNA, 253 nt
Filed under: uncultured bacterium
Lineage: Bacteria
Description: partial 16S ribosomal RNA
Rfam family: Bacterial small subunit ribosomal RNA
Source: RNAcentral